Molecule: ribosomal RNA, 860 nt
Filed under: uncultured archaeon
Lineage: Archaea
Description: bacterial SSU rRNA
Rfam family: Archaeal small subunit ribosomal RNA
Source: RNAcentral
AGCCAUGCGAGUCAUUGUAGCAAUACAAGGCAGACGGCUCAGUAACGCGUAGUCAAUCUACCCUGUUGACGGGGAUAACCUCGGGAAACUGAGAAUAAUACCCGAUAGAACAUUAUGCCUGGAAUGGUUUAUGUUUCAAAUGAUUUAUCGCAAUAGGAUGGGACUGCGGCCUAUCAGUUUGUUGGUGAGGUAAUGGCCCACCAAGACUAUUACAGGUACGGGCUCUGAGAGGAGUGGCCCGGAGAUGGGUACUGAGACACGGACCCAGGCCCUAUGGGGCGCAGCAGGCGAGAAAACUUUGCAAUGUGCGAAAGCACGACAAGGUUAAUCCGAGUGGUUUCUGCUAAAGAAACCUUUUGUCAGUCCUAGAAACACUGAUGAAUAAGGGGUGGGCAAGUUCUGGUGUCAGCCGCCGCGGUAAAACCAGCACCUCAAGUGGUCAGGAUGAUUAUUGGGCCUAAAGCAUCCGUAGCUUGUUUUGUAAGUUUUCGGUUAAAUCCAUACGCUUAACGUAUGGGCUGCCGGGAAUACUGCAUAACUAGGAAGUGGGAGAGGUAGACGGUACUCGGUAGGAAGGGGUAAAAUCCUUUGAUCUAUUGAUGACCACCUGUGGCGAAGGCGGUCUACCAGAACACGUUCGACGGUGAGGGAUGAAAGCUGGGGGAGCAAACCGGAUUAGAUACCCGGGUAGUCCCAGCUGUAAACUAUGCAAACCCAGUGAUGCAUUGGCUUGUGGCCAAUGCAGUGCUGCAGGGAAGCCGUUAAGUUUGCCGCCUGGGAAGUACGUACGCAAGUAUGAAACUUAAGGGAAUUGGCGGGGGAGCACCACAAGGGGUGAAGCCUGCGGUUCAAUUGGAGUC